AAAUUAAUAGUGAUGCGGGGGAAAGAUAUAAUUCUGCUGGAUGAUCCCCAAAAGGCAUUAUUAUGGCUUAAAAAAAAUGACCUAAAGUAGUAGGCUGAUAGAGAGGAGUAAGGAGAGGGGAAUGGGGAGAGGAGAGGGGGUAAGCAGUUUUGUGUAGCUGUGGGGUGUUUUUUUGAUGCGCGGUGGGUCACUAUGGAAUACAAGUGUAUGAAUAUCCA
Pelobates cultripes (western spadefoot toad) is the source of this 218-nucleotide non-coding RNA. The record is from the annotation of a GenBank genome assembly. Lineage: Eukaryota; Metazoa; Chordata; Amphibia; Anura; Pelobatidae.